This is a non-coding RNA of Xylaria bambusicola, 84 nucleotides long. Lineage: Eukaryota; Fungi; Ascomycota; Sordariomycetes; Xylariales; Xylariaceae. The record is from the annotation of a RefSeq genome assembly.
GGACCCAUAGCUCAGCGGUAGAGCAUCUGAUUCCAGCCAACAACUGCCUCCAGAAGGUCAUCCGUUCAAAUCGGGUUGGGUUCA